UGGAGAGCCCUCUUUUAUAGUAAAUUUUGUUGGCGCAUGUAUGAUUGUUUAGUUUUUACUUUUUUGGUAAUGCUUUGUGUUUUAUACAUUUAAAACMGAUAUAUAUUUGGCUUAUGGAUUUAUUUUUCAUGUGUUACUAUUGUUAAUUUUCUUUGGAUUAAUUUUUAAUUUUUUUGUUGAAAUUGGAAAAGAAAGUAAUUUUUUCUUAAKGUAAUAAUGAAUUUA
RNAcentral lists this ribosomal RNA (225 nucleotides) under Dirofilaria immitis (dog heartworm nematode). RNAcentral's name for it is "partial small subunit ribosomal RNA". Lineage: Eukaryota; Metazoa; Nematoda; Chromadorea; Rhabditida; Onchocercidae. The record is from RNAcentral.